GACAGAGGGUGCAAACGUUGCUCGGAAUCACUGGGCGUAAAGGGCGUGUAGGCGGGUAGAUAAGUCGGGCGUGAAAUCCCUAGGCUCAACCUAGGAACUGCACUCGAAACUGUUUAUCUUGAGUGCCGGAGAGGAAAGCGGAAUUCCUGGUGUAGAGGUGAAAUUCGUAGAUAUCAGGAGGAACACCAGUGGCGAAGGCGGCUUUCUGGACGGUAACUGACGCAUGAG
Molecule: ribosomal RNA, 228 nt
Filed under: uncultured bacterium
Lineage: Bacteria
Description: partial 16S ribosomal RNA
Rfam family: Bacterial small subunit ribosomal RNA
Source: RNAcentral